This 2613-nucleotide long non-coding RNA is filed under the name Mus musculus (house mouse). RNAcentral's name for it is "long non-coding RNA chr6:72104200-72106813". Lineage: Eukaryota; Metazoa; Chordata; Mammalia; Rodentia; Muridae. The record is from RNAcentral.
GGAUUAUGCCUUAUUUAUUUUUCUAUCCUCAGUUCCUGGUAUGUAAUAUUUGUUUAUUAAAUGUUUAUUUAUAGGAUUAUAAAUCUGGGCAUGAAUGUUUAUGCUUGUAACCCAGGGAGCCAGAGGUAGGAAGAUUAUUACAUUGGAUUUAAGGCUACUUAGUUAAAAAAAAACAAAGAACAAAAAAACAAAACAAAACUGAGGGAUAGGGAGAAUUGUUACGCGAACAACAAAGCAAAUUCCAUACCAGUGUAGAGCAGCCCUUCCCAACCAAGGCUAUAUGAGAAAUUUAAGCCCUAUUAUCCAAAGGCAGCCUGUAAUACAUUAACUUCUCUCUUAUGCUUCUGGAAGGAUUCUAGUUGUUUGACCAUCCUUGAGACGAUUGACAAAAUUCCAGCCCUUUGUAAUAGGGCUUCAUCCCCAGUGGAAUUCAGGUCAAAGAAGGCUCAACCCUGUUUAUGUGAUAUUAAAGGCUGACAGAAUAUAGAUAAGAAGAGUGAUAGCAACGGGCACCCCUGCGUUGUAGGACGUCUUUCUAAUCUUCUUUCCACUGUUAAAUGUUCUCUGACGUUUCUGACUUUGUAAACAGCAAGAGUUCAAGGCUGGGGAGAUGGCUGGAGGAGGAAAAGAGUGUGUACAAAUGUGAGGGCCUGAGUUCGGAUAUGGAGCGCCUACAUAAAAACUGUGUGGCUGCAGUCUGGUUACCUCAGUGUUGCUGAUAGGGCAGGGCAGGAGGCUGGCCAGCCAGCUUAACAGAAACACAAAGCGGAAAGAGUAAGACAGACAGUAAUAGAGAGAGUCAGUUUACCUUAUGUCCUUCUCAGGCCUCUUGAAAUAUUUCCUAGGUAAAGCAAAUUAGUGUCCCUAACCACCAUUAUACCAGAGGAGGAGGCGGAAUCACAGAGUAGAGCCCCCUCGGUGUUCUCAUUAAAAGACUCAAACAAGUAAACACAAAACAAAAACAGGCAUUGGUGUGACUGGGUGUCAGCUCCCUGGGUUCAGCAUCUGUGCUUGCUUCUGGAUUCUCAGAAAGUCUUUAAUAGACACUCUAUAACUAAUAUAGUCUUGGGUCCUAUCUAGAGGACAUAUAGUUGUCUUUCUUUUUUAUUUUUUUAUUUUUUUGGUUUUUCGAGACAGGGUUUCUUUGUAUAGCCCUAGCUGUCCUGGAACUCGCUCUGUAGAUCAGGCUGGGCUUGAACUCAGAAAUCCACCUGCCUCUGCCUCCCGAGUGCUGGGAUUAAAGGCAUGAGCCACCACGCCUGGCUUAUAGUUUUCUUUCUUUUAUAGAUUUUUAAAUUCCAUUUUAUGUGUAUGAGUAUUUGCCUGCAUGUGUGUAUGUGUGCCAUAGGCAUGCCUGCUCCUCAAAGAGGCCAGAAGAAGGCAUCAGAUCUCCUGGAACUGGAGUUAUAGAUGGUCGUGAGCUGCCGUGUGGGUGCUGGAAACUGAACUAGAGUCCUCUACAAGAGCAACAAGUGCUCUUAACCACUGAGCUACCUCUCCAGCUCCUACCUUGUUUUCCUCCCAGCUAAAAGUGAGCAUGGGUUGAGGUUUCAAGAAGCAAAUAUGGGAAGAGGCCCAGGUGCUAAUUCAUUGUCACCAACUCUGUACUGACAAGCCUUAUUCCUGAGGUUCGAAUGUGACCUUACCUAAUUUACAGUUUAUCCUUUUCUCUACCAGUGGCUACUGAAUCAGAGUUGAUGAAAAACUAGGAACUUUACUUAGUUCCUAGGUGUGGUGGUUUGAAUGAGACACACACAUACACACACACACAUUUGAAUGCUUGCUUUGUCCCUAGUGGGUGGAAUUGUUUAGGAUGGAUUGGGAGAUGAGAAGGCGAGUCACUAGGGAUAGGCUUGGAGAUUUCCAAAGCCCAUGCCAGGCCCAGUUUCUUUCACUCUGCUUUCAACUUGAGGAUCAGGAUGUAAGCUCUGAGCUACUGCCCCAGCACCUUGCCUGCCUGCUGCCAUGCUUUCUUCCCACAUGGUCACAGUCUCACCUUCUGAAACUAUAAGCAAUUAAAGGUUUUUGUUUUUUGUUUUUUUAAAACUGAGUUGCCUUGGUCCAUUGCCUCUUCACAGCAAUAGGAAAGUAACUAAGGCACUAGGUAUGUCACAUCGAGUCCCUUAUUAGUUCACAAAGAGAAAAUAGCAACUGGCUUAUACCACCUUAACCAGCUGUUCACCCGAGGUGCCACCAGUGCCAGGCCGGGUGAACACCGUGCACCUCCUGAGGAAACACUGAGAGAAAAGCACUUCACUCUCUGCUGCUCUGGCCCCAGUGCAUAACUCGAAUCUAAUCGUGAAGAAACGUCAGACGAACCCCAACUGGGGAACAUUCUGCAAACUACUUGGCCUGUACUUUUCAAAAAAUGUCAAGGUCACGAGAGAUAAAGGAAGCCAACCCAACAUGACAUUAGGCCUCAUAUGUGAUCCUGGAUGGUAUCCUGGAAAACGGAGAAAAAGUUGUUUCUGUUUUUGUUUGAAAGUCAUCACUUGAAAUGACUAGAGAACUCUUCUUGAGACCUUUAUAUUAGACUCUAGUUUCGAGUCAGUGUCCAGGCCCUCGCAUUGAUCGUUAUACUGUGCUCAUAUAAGGAAUGAUUUCAUUUCUAGG